ACCCAGCUCGUCAUGCUAGAGUACUUUUUCAAUUUGCUCCCCAACAAGAAGGUGACAAUGCAUUCGUAUGUCAAUCCAUAUCAACGUUCAAUGCCAUUGACUGCGCCUACCAUGGUGACCACGGGUAAUGGGGAAUCAGUGUUCGAUUCUGUACAGGGACCCUGACAAAUGGCUACCACAUGCAAGGAAGGCAGCAGGCGCGCAAAUGACCCACUCCCGACGCGGGAAGUUAGUGACGU
Pelobates cultripes (western spadefoot toad) is the source of this 239-nucleotide non-coding RNA. NCBI's taxonomy places the organism in Eukaryota, Metazoa, Chordata, Amphibia, Anura, Pelobatidae. The record is from the annotation of a GenBank genome assembly.